GACAAGCCUUGGGGCCAAGGGAAGCCCUAUACAGCAUACUUGAGCUGGUGAAAAUCUUAUCCUUGAGUAGAAAGGAAUCAAACAAGUCAUAUACCACCCGUCUUCCUGUCUGUACUGGAACCAUCACAGGCUUUUGAGGAACUACUUUUGAACCGUUCCCCAGAGAGGCAUUUGCCCCAGUAGCUAUGAUUAUAAUUUGCAAUGACAGCCACAGUGAUUUCAUCCUUCUGGGCUUCUCUAACAAGCCACAUUUGGAGAAGAUACUUUUUGGAUCAUUUUUAUUUUUUAUUUUUUGACUCUUGCAGGAAAUAUGGUCAUAGUUCUUGUGUCCUUGAAGGAUCCAAAACUCCACAUCCCUAUGUAUUUCUUUCUUUCCAACCUUUCCUUGGUAGACCUCUGUUUGACCAGCAGCUGUGUUCCACAGAUGUUGAUUAACUUCUGGGGCCCAGAAAAGACCAUCAGCUACAUUGGCUGUGCCAUUCAACUCUAUGUUUUUUUGUGGCUUGGGGCCACGGAAUGUGUCCUUCUUGUUGUCAUGGCUGUGGAUUGUUAUGUAGCAGUGUGUCAUCCACUGCAAAAUACCAUGAUCAUGCACCCAAAACUUUGUCUGCAGCUGGCUAUCUUGGCAUGGGGGACUGGCUUGGCCCAGUCUCUGAUCCAGUCCCCUGCCACCCUCCGGUUACCCUUCUGCUCCCAGCGGAUGGUGGAUGAUGUUGUUUGUGAAGUCCCAGCUCUGAUUCAGCUCUCCAGUACUGAUACUACCUACAGUGAAAUUCAGAUGUCUAUCGCCAGUGUUGUCCUCCUGGUGAUGCCCUUGAUCAUUAUCCUUUCCUCUUCUGGUGCUAUUGCUAAGGCUGUGCUGAGAAUUAAGUCAACUGCAGGACAGAAGAAAGCAUUUGGCACCUGCAUCUCUCACCUUCUUGUGGUUUCUCUCUUUUAUGGCACUGUCACAGGUGUCUACCUUCAACCAAAAAAUCACUAUCCUCAUGAAUGGGGCAAAUUUCUCACUCUUUUCUACACUGUAGUAACCCCAACUCUUAAUCCCCUCAUCUACACUCUAAGGAACAAGGAGGUAAAGGGAGCACUAAUAAGAUUGGGGAGGAGGACCUGGGAUUCCCAGAAUAACUAACAAGGUUAACAUAUGUUUACCUUUGCUUAACCUAAGAAUAGAGAACAACCUCAUCACAAAAAGCUGGAGAUACACCUCCUAAGCCAAAAGUAGGAGAGAAAGAGCUGCAUUCUGUUCAGGUUGAGAUUUCAGUUUCCUUCAUCAAUCAAUUGGGCCCUUAAAUUCUUCAUAUUGUGGAUUUAGACACAGUAUGGUAUAAAAAUUAAUAUAUUUAAUAGCUAUUGUCUUGAAAAGGACACAAUGCAAUUGAAUGGGGGAGGAGGAGAAGACACAAGAAACACAUUACUUGCAAAAUAAAAUACUAAGUAGUACGUUUCAUGCCUUUCUAUUUCGUUCUUUUUUUGUUCUAUUUUCCUACAAGCUCCACCAGUGCUUUCAGUCCCAACAAGAUUUCUAAAGUUUUGAGACAGAAACUUCUUGAUCAACUUAUAUGUACCCCUAUACUGUAAUAUGGCAGGUCUUGGUUUUAAUUGCUUCUGUCUCUCUGUCUCAGCAUGACCACUGUUGACCUGUAAUGUGACUUUCACUAUCCAAUGCAAAGUGUUUGCCAUGCCAAAGUCCACAUUUACUGCUCUCUGGUGCUGAUACUAUGAUGAGUGUGUGUGCAAGUUUCUCAGUUUGAGCCUUGAUAUUCUGGGCCCCCAGUUAUAGGAAUAGACUUCUGUGUUUUUCUUCAUUCUGAGGCCUUAUUGUAACAAAAUGGUUAUCUUUUUAUCAGACCCAAUUAUUCUUUCACUUUAUAGAUAUUUAUGGC
This 1883-nucleotide long non-coding RNA is filed under the name Homo sapiens (human). RNAcentral's name for it is "novel transcript". Lineage: Eukaryota; Metazoa; Chordata; Mammalia; Primates; Hominidae. The record is from RNAcentral.